This 238-nucleotide ribosomal RNA is filed under the name uncultured bacterium. RNAcentral's name for it is "partial 16S ribosomal RNA". It matches the Rfam family "Bacterial small subunit ribosomal RNA", at positions 96 to 334 of the family's 1533-position model. The record is from RNAcentral.
UGGCGGACGGGUGAGUAACGCGUGGGUAACCUGCCUCAUACAGGGGGAUAACAGUUAGAAAUGACUGCUAAUACGGCAUAAGACCACAGCACCGCAUGGUGCAGGGGCAAAAACUCCGGUGGUAUGAGAUGGACCCGCGUCUGAUUAGGUAGUUGGUGGGGUAACGGCCUACCAAGCCGACGAUCAGUAGCCGACCUGAGAGGGUGACCGGCCACAUUGGGACUGAGACACGGCCCAA